GUUGUAUGGUUAAGUGACUAAGCGUACACGGUGGAUGCCUUGGCAGUUGGAGGCGAUGAAGGACGUAUUAACUUGCGAUAAGCCUAGUCAAGCUAGUAAAAAGCACUUGAGACUAGGAUUUCCGAAUGGGGAAACCCACCUGCUUGCAGGUAUCGUUAACUGAAUACAUAGGUUAACGAGGCGAACGCGGAGAACUGAAACAUCUAAGUACCCGUAGGAAAAGAAAUCAACCGAG
Molecule: ribosomal RNA, 235 nt
Filed under: Pseudoalteromonas porphyrae
Lineage: Bacteria; Pseudomonadati; Pseudomonadota; Gammaproteobacteria; Alteromonadales; Pseudoalteromonadaceae
Description: partial 23S ribosomal RNA
Rfam family: Bacterial large subunit ribosomal RNA
Source: RNAcentral